This 222-nucleotide unclassified non-coding RNA is filed under the name Rhodosporidiobolus sp. RNAcentral's name for it is "partial internal transcribed spacer region". The stretch from base 1 to 46 matches the Rfam family "Eukaryotic small subunit ribosomal RNA", at positions 1786 to 1831 of the family's 1831-position model. The record is from RNAcentral. Lineage: Eukaryota; Fungi; Basidiomycota; Microbotryomycetes; Sporidiobolales; Sporidiobolaceae.
AAGUCGUAACAAGGUUUCCGUAGGUGAACCUGCGGAAGGAUCAUUAGUGAAUAUUAGGACGUUCAAUUUAACUUGAAGUCCGAACUCCCACUUUCUAACCCUGUGCAUUUGUUUUGGUUAGUAGGAUUCGUCCGAAAGCCUCUUCAUUUACAAACACAAAGUCUAUGAAUGUUUAAACUUUAUAACAAAACAAAACUUUCAACAACGGAUCUCUUGGCUCUC